RNAcentral lists this ribosomal RNA (461 nucleotides) under uncultured bacterium. RNAcentral describes it as "bacterial SSU rRNA". It matches the Rfam family "Bacterial small subunit ribosomal RNA", at positions 8 to 496 of the family's 1533-position model. The record is from RNAcentral.
AGAGUUUGAUCCUGGCUCAGGAUGAACGCUGGCGGCGUGCUUAACACAUGCAAGUCGAGCGAUUUACUUCGGUAAAGAGCGGCGGACGGGUGAGUAACGCGUGGGUAACCUGCCCUGUACACACGGAUAACAUACCGAAAGGUAUGCUAAUACGAGAUAAUAUGUUUUUAUCGCAUGGUAGAAGUAUCAAAGCUUUUGCGGUACAGGAUGGACCCGCGUCUGAUUAGCUAGUUGGUAAGGUAACGGCUUACCAAGGCGACGAUCAGUAGCCGACCUGAGAGGGUGAUCGGCCACAUUGGAACUGAGACACGGUCCAAACUCCUACGGGAGGCAGCAGUGGGGAAUAUUGCACAAUGGGCGAAAGCCUGAUGCAGCAACGCCGCGUGAGCGAUGAAGGCCUUCGGGUCGUAAAGCUCUGUCCUCAAGGAAGAUAAUGACGGUACUUGAGGAGGAAGCCCCGG